Dama dama (fallow deer) is the source of this 597-nucleotide long non-coding RNA. RefSeq lists it as uncharacterized. The record is from RefSeq and is a predicted model, not a curated record. NCBI's taxonomy places the organism in Eukaryota, Metazoa, Chordata, Mammalia, Artiodactyla, Cervidae. The transcript is spliced from 2 exons.
CAGGGUUUGCAGCGUUGGACCAAAGAGAAGAGUCCUCCGAAGGUCCUAGAAGGGCAAGCCGCGCAUUACCAUAGAGACCGCGGACUGGAAAGGCGCUAUCUGCAGUUCCGGGCUCAGCCCCUAGACUCUGAGGCCAGUAACCUAAAAUGGAGAGUGGAGCUUCUAAAUUUCACUGGUUUCUAAAGCCAUAUUGCCAAUGGACAAAAAAUGCAGAGCAGCUCUUGCCCCUUGGCUCAAAAUGUCAGUUACUGGGAGAAGGCAGUUAUUUUUGAUGGGGUUCACAGGGAUUUUGCUCCCUUGAGGAGGCCUAUCCUGAGCAGCAGGCCCUGGAUGUCUUACCUGGAGAGAGACGGUACUGGAUAUGGUUACGUGAUUCACUUAGUAGAGAGAUGGUCACAGGAGUGAUGGGAGAUGGAAAGCCAGAUCUGGAUGGAGAAGAAUGGGUAAGGGAAGGCCAGGGGAGAGAAACAGUGAAUGAUGUGAUUUUCUUAAUGGUUAAAGAAAAUACUGACAAAAUGCCUCAUUUGAGAUUCUCCCUUUACCGCUUUGUUAUUGACUGUAUUGAUGGUCUUUAAAGUUGCAUGCUUUUGUAGGAAA